Molecule: small nucleolar RNA, 123 nt
Organism: Nycticebus coucang (slow loris)
Lineage: Eukaryota; Metazoa; Chordata; Mammalia; Primates; Lorisidae
Source: RefSeq, a predicted model, not a curated record
GCGCUUUGUGGUGGUAGUGUCGGGGGUAGGGUGGGGCGGGCUGCAGCGCCAGAGCACAAGCUUGAAAAUAACUGGGGCCGCCUGCCUGCACUGUGGGUGGCUCUUUUAACCCCAGCAACACUG